This 497-nucleotide ribosomal RNA is filed under the name uncultured bacterium. RNAcentral describes it as "partial 16S ribosomal RNA". It matches the Rfam family "Bacterial small subunit ribosomal RNA", at positions 28 to 507 of the family's 1533-position model. The record is from RNAcentral.
GAUGAACGCUGGCGGCGUGCCUAAUACAUGCAAGUCGAGCGAACGGACGAGAAGCUUGCUUCUCUGAUGUUAGCGGCGGACGGGUGAGUAACACGUGGAUAACCUACCUAUAAGACUGGGAUAACUUCGGGAAACCGUAGCUAAUACCGGAUAAUAUUUUGAACCGCAUGGUUCAAAAGUGAAAGACGGUCUUGCUGUCACUUAUAGAUGGAUCCGCGCUGCAUUAGCUAGUUGGUAAGGUAACGGCUUACCAAGGCAACGAUGCAUAGCCGACCUGAGAGGGUGAUCGGCCACACUGGAACUGAGACACGGUCCAGACUCCUACGGGAGGCAGCAGUAGGGAAUCUUCCGCAAUGGGCGAAAGCCUGACGGAGCAACGCCGCGUGAGUGAUGAAGGUCUUCGGAUCGUAAAACUCUGCUAUUAGGGAAGAACAUAUGUGUAAGUAACUGUGCACAUCUUGACGGUACCUAACCAGAAAGCCACGGCUAACUACGUG